RNAcentral lists this ribosomal RNA (253 nucleotides) under uncultured bacterium. RNAcentral describes it as "partial 16S ribosomal RNA". It matches the Rfam family "Bacterial small subunit ribosomal RNA", at positions 524 to 776 of the family's 1533-position model. The record is from RNAcentral.
UACAGAGGUCUCAACCGUUGUUCGGAUUCAUUGGGCGUAAAGGGUGCGUAGGCGGUCGCGCAAGUCGGAUGUGAAAUCUCAGGGCUCAACCCUGAAACUGCAUUCGAUACUGCGUGGCUAGAGUGCUGGAGGGGAGACUGGAAUUCCUGGUGUAGCGGUGGAAUGCGCAGAUAUCGGGAGGAACACCAGCGGCGAAGGCGCUGACCUGGACGAAGAUUGACGCUGAGGUGCGAAAGCGCGGGGAGCAAACAGG